GAGAUGCUAAUUGUAAACAAUUCAGUUGUUAUAUUAACAGUGCACGUUAAUAUAACAACUGAUUAGGAUAAAUUUUUAAUAUUUUAUUUUUCUGUAGUAUUUUAAAUUUAUUUAUCAGGAUCAAUUUAUUUAGCAAAAUUUUGUGAGUAAAAUUGUGUUUAAUCCAUCUAUUCCAAAAACUCAAGAAAUAAAAUUAAACUAAAAAUUUUUACUUAUAUGAAUUCUUAUUAAAUUUAUAUUUUUAUUAAUUUUAUCUAUUCUGAUGAUUUACUAAUAUUUACUUUAUUAUUUUUCUUAUUUUCAGUGAAAUUUGUACAGAAAGGAGGCUGAUCGUGACAUUUUUAGUUAGUUUAGUGACGAAUUUUGUGUUUCUUUUUCAAUAAUUUCAGGAUGAAUUUUGUGUUCUUUCUUUGAUAAUAUUGUAAUUUUAUUUUUUAUUUCUGUCAUUUUAUUUUGGUAAUAAUUAAAUACUAUAUAUUGAAUCUAUAAUAUGUAUUUAUAAAAUUUUAUUUUUUAGUAUUUGCGCGACGUGCAUUGCACGUGUACUUAACUAGCAUAUAUAUAUAUAUAUAUCGAGUCCGGCUACUAUGCUAUUAAUAGCAUGAAGUACUUGGUGCUACCAAGUUUUCUGCCGUUAGAUUUACCCUUUUGAUCAUUUUCACCCGUUAGAUCAUACUAUUCAACCAACCACCCACUCAACCCU
This 703-nucleotide long non-coding RNA is filed under the name Ananas comosus (pineapple). RNAcentral's name for it is "long non-coding RNA (ACOM_LNC038494)". The record is from RNAcentral. Lineage: Eukaryota; Viridiplantae; Streptophyta; Magnoliopsida; Poales; Bromeliaceae.